Molecule: ribosomal RNA, 209 nt
Filed under: uncultured bacterium
Lineage: Bacteria
Description: partial 16S ribosomal RNA
Rfam family: Bacterial small subunit ribosomal RNA
Source: RNAcentral
UGCGUAGGUGGUCUACUAAGUUGGAUGUGAAACCCCCGGGCUUAACUUGGGAACUGCACUCCAAUACUGGCGGACUAGAGUGCAGGAGAAGGAAAGCGGAAUUCCUAGUGUAGCGGUGAAAUGCGUAGAUAUUAGGAGGAACACCAGUGGCGAAGGCGGCUUUCUGGACUGUAACUGACACUGAGGCACGAAAGCGUGGGUAGCAAACA